This 94-nucleotide ribosomal RNA is filed under the name Thermodesulfobacteriota bacterium. Its description in RNAcentral is "partial 16S ribosomal RNA". It matches the Rfam family "Bacterial small subunit ribosomal RNA", at positions 1 to 93 of the family's 1533-position model. Lineage: Bacteria; Pseudomonadati; Thermodesulfobacteriota. The record is from RNAcentral.
UAAUUGGAGAGUUUGAUCCUGGCUCAGAAUGAACGCUGGCGGCGUGCUUAACACAUGCAAGUCGAACGAGAAACCCCGGCUUGCCGGGGGAGUA